AACAGCAUGUCCCACAAAGAGGAUGUCCUUCACUGGGCCCCAGGAUGAUGGCACAAAGCUGAAGGUAACUGCCACUGACAGCAUGACGAGAGAGACACCUGACCGUCAGCCACGUAUUUAGAGCACAUGGAAGGUGUGUCUGCUUGGAAGGAGCUCGAGUACUCAUUUGUGAUGGAAAAUUACAGGAGCCUGCCAGAAAAGAAUUACUGCAGAGUAUUGCCCUUCACAGGGGAGCUGAAAGUACCGGCUGUAGACUUUGCUUCGUCCCGGAAGGACGUCCAGAAGGACAUCAGGUCUAAUUAGCAUAUUAUGCUUUUAUUAUUAUAGAUGUGAGAAUGUAUGGAAUAAAAACAAGACACUACUAAAAAUUAAAAUCUA
Molecule: long non-coding RNA, 378 nt
Organism: Myotis davidii
Lineage: Eukaryota; Metazoa; Chordata; Mammalia; Chiroptera; Vespertilionidae
Exons: 2
Source: RefSeq, a predicted model, not a curated record